GAAGAAGAAGAAGAAGAAGUCAUGGAAGGCUUAAUUCCUUAUCUCCUUCAUGCAAUGAAGAAACAAAGGCCUUACAACAGCUACAGGUCUUUCUCUGAAGGCUCAAGCCGUAGCUACCAUUUGUUAGUAGGCGGCGGGGACUCGUUCAAUGGCUCUUCUCACCGGCGAACCAGGUCGGAGUUCCAGCAACCAAACAUGGAGUUUUUGGAGCGAAGGCCUGGUCUGGAGUAUCUACAUUCAAACAGCUUAAGAAAACGCUCGGUGAACUCUGCCGCAGUGGCUGCAGGUGGUUCAAAGCUUACUAGUUCUUAUAAUAAUCCUCACUAUGGGAAAAACAAUAUUUUCUAAUCUCAGGCAAUUAAAGUUUCAAAAUGAAAGCAUUAUUUGUUUUUUCUAUUAACUGUAUUUUAUAUUCUUUAAAUGUUGCAAGAUAAAUUAUAUUGUGUGAUGAUUAAGCUAUAGGGUGGAAAUAAUUGUAAUGAUGAGGAGUACCCACCCUGUAGUUGAUGGAAAUUGUAUAUUUGAUCUUAAAGUACUCUGUUUUCCAUGGCAAAUGCCAAUAAUUA
This 566-nucleotide unclassified non-coding RNA is filed under the name Hevea brasiliensis (rubber tree). Lineage: Eukaryota; Viridiplantae; Streptophyta; Magnoliopsida; Malpighiales; Euphorbiaceae. The record is from RNAcentral.